Non-coding RNA from Lupinus albus (white lupine), 245 nucleotides. Lineage: Eukaryota; Viridiplantae; Streptophyta; Magnoliopsida; Fabales; Fabaceae. The record is from the annotation of a GenBank genome assembly.
UAGUUUUGACACUCGAUGUAUGUUGGAAUGGAUUCGGAGCAGAAGCUGAUGGGUCAUGAUUAUUAUCACCAAAGCUUAUGCUGAGUCCUUGGCUAGAGUGGCUCUUACACCAAGCUACAGUGAUCAAAAUUUGUUGGAUAGGACUAUUUUGUAGACAUUGGAGACUGAAUUUUGUGUUGAAAGGGCAAGGUUUAAACGCAAGCAUUUUUGAUUAUCUAGAACAUGAGGAAUAUGACACAUUUAUU